Molecule: ribosomal RNA, 255 nt
Filed under: uncultured bacterium
Lineage: Bacteria
Description: partial 16S ribosomal RNA
Rfam family: Bacterial small subunit ribosomal RNA
Source: RNAcentral
GUCCACGCCGUAAACGAUGGAUACUAGCUGUUGGGAGCAAUCUCAGUGGCUAAGCGAAAGUGAUAAGUAUCCCACCUGGGGAGUACGUUCGCAAGAAUGAAACUCAAAGGAAUUGACGGGGGCCCCGCACAAGCGGUGGAGCAUGUGGUUUAAUUCGAUGAUACGCGAGGAACCUUACCAAGGCUUAAAUGUAGUCUGACAGGCGUGGAAACAUGCUUUUCUCGGACAGAUUACAAGGUGCUGCAUGGUUGUCGU